Molecule: ribosomal RNA, 460 nt
Filed under: uncultured bacterium
Lineage: Bacteria
Description: partial 16S ribosomal RNA
Rfam family: Bacterial small subunit ribosomal RNA
Source: RNAcentral
CCUACGGGAGGCAGCAGUGAGGAAUAUUGGUCAAUGGGCGAGAGCCUGAACCAGCCACGUCGCGUGAAGGAUGAAUGCCCUACGGGUUGUAACCUUCUUUUAUAAAGGAAUAAAGUGAGGCACGUGUGCAUUUUUGUAUGUACUUUAUGAAUAAGGAUAGGAUAACUCCGUGCCAGCAGCCGCGGUAAUACGGAGGAUCCGAGCGUUAGCCGGAUUUAUUGGGUUUAAAGGGAGCGUAGAUGGGUUGUUAAGUCAGUUGUGAAAGUUUGCGGCUCAACCGUAAAAUUGCAAUUGAUACUGGCAGUCUUGAGUACAGUUGAGGUAGGCGGAAUUCGAGGUGUAGCAGUGAAAUGCUUAGAUAUCACGAAGAACACCGAUGGCGAAGGCAGCUUACUAAACUGCCACUGACAUUGAUGCUCGAAAGUGUGGGUAGCAAACAGGAUUAGAUACCCUUGUAGUC